GCAGGGGUGGCGGAGUUUGGUCAAACGCGGCAGACUCAAGAUCUGCUGGCCAUAGGCCUGCGUGAGUUCAAAUCUCUCCCCCUGCA
This 86-nucleotide transfer RNA is filed under the name Microcaldota archaeon. Its description in RNAcentral is "tRNA-Leu". It matches the Rfam family "tRNA". From Rfam's summary of the family: Transfer RNA (tRNA) molecules are approximately 80 nucleotides in length. Their secondary structure includes four short double-helical elements and three loops (D, anti-codon, and T loops). The record is from RNAcentral. Lineage: Archaea; Nanobdellati; Microcaldota.